GAAACUGGGUAUCUUGAGGACAGGAGAGGAAAGUGGAAUUUCCACGUGUAGCGGUGAAAUGCGUAGAUAUGUGGAGGAACACCAGUGGCGAAGGCGACUUUCUGGACUGUAACUGACGCUGAGGCGCGAAAGCGUGGGGAGCAAAUAGGAUUAGAUACCCUGGUAGUCCACGCCGUAAACGAUGAGUGCUAGGUGUAGAGGGUAUCGACCCCUUCUGUGCCGCAGUUAACACAAUAAGCACUCCGCCUGGGGAGUACGGCCGCAAGGUUGAAACUCAAAGGAAUUGACGGGGGCCCGCACAAGCGGUGGAGCAUGUGGUUUAAUUCGACGCAACGCGAAGAACCUUACCAGGGCUUGACAUCCUGCGAACUUUCUAGAAAUAGAGAGGUGCCCUUCGGGGAGCGUAGAGACAGGUGGUGCAUGGUUGUCGUCAGCUCGUGUCGUGAGAUGUUGGGUUAAGUCCCGCAACGAGCGCAACCCCUGUAUUUAGUUGCUAACGAGUAAGGUCGAGCACUCUAGAUAGACUGCCGGUGAUAAACCGGAGGAAGGUGGGGAUGACGUCAAAUCAUCAUGCCCCUUAUGUCCUGGGCUACACACGUGCUACAAUGGCCGGUACAGACGGAAGCGAAGCUGUGAAGCGGAGCUAAUCCGAGAAAGCCGGUCUCAGUUCGGAUUGCAGGCUGCAACUCGCCUGCAUGAAGUCGGAAUCGCUAGUAAUCGCAGGUCAGCAUACUGCGGUGAAUACGUUCCCGGGCCUUGUACACACCGCCCGUCACACCACGAAAGUCUGCAACACCCGAAGCCGGUGAGGUAACCCGCAAGGGAGCUAGCCGUCGAAGGUGGGGCCGAUGAUUGGGGUGAAGUCGUAACAAGGUAGCCG
This 880-nucleotide ribosomal RNA is filed under the name Desulfosporosinus sp. enrichment culture clone N2. Its description in RNAcentral is "bacterial SSU rRNA". It matches the Rfam family "Bacterial small subunit ribosomal RNA", at positions 629 to 1502 of the family's 1533-position model. The record is from RNAcentral. Lineage: Bacteria; Bacillati; Bacillota; Clostridia; Eubacteriales; Desulfitobacteriaceae.